RNAcentral lists this non-coding RNA (31 nucleotides) under Mus musculus (house mouse). The record is from RNAcentral. Lineage: Eukaryota; Metazoa; Chordata; Mammalia; Rodentia; Muridae.
UCUGUGUUCCAUAUGUACAUUGCACUGCAGC